Molecule: ribosomal RNA, 496 nt
Filed under: uncultured bacterium
Lineage: Bacteria
Description: bacterial SSU rRNA
Rfam family: Bacterial small subunit ribosomal RNA
Source: RNAcentral
AUGAACGCUAGCGACAGGCCUAACACAUGCAAGUCGAGGGGCAGCACAAGGAGCAAUCUGAGGUGGCGACCGGCGCACGGGUGAGUAACACGUAUGCAACCUGCCUGUAAGCGGGGAAUAACCCGUUGAAAGACGGAACUAAUACCGCAUAAUACUAAAUUACUGCAUGGUAAUUUAUUUAAACAUUUAUGGCUUACAGAUGGGCAUGCGCAUGAUUAGCUAGUUGGAGAGGUAACGGCUCCCCAAGGCAACGAUCAUUAGGGGUUCUGAGAGGAAGGUCCCCCACACUGGUACUGAGACACGGACCAGACUCCUACGGGAGGCAGCAGUGAGGAAUAUUGGUCAAUGGACGAGAGUCUGAACCAGCCAAGUCGCGUGCAGGAAGAAUGUCCCUAUGGAUUGUAAACUGCUUUUGCAGGGGAAUAAAGUGCAUCACGUGUGAUGUUUUGUAUGUACUCUGCGAAUAAGGAUCGGCUAACUCCGUGCCAGCCGCCGC